Molecule: long non-coding RNA, 237 nt
Filed under: Elaeis guineensis (African oil palm)
Lineage: Eukaryota; Viridiplantae; Streptophyta; Magnoliopsida; Arecales; Arecaceae
Description: long non-coding RNA (EGUI_LNC038987)
Source: RNAcentral
UCGCCCCCACCUUAAGGUCGAGGACUGAUGGUUCAUCAGCCCAAGUGUAACACCCCGAAUCAAGACUGUGGUAGCUAAGAAAUUUACAUAUACAUGAGCAUUUAUAUUGGUAUAUGGCACAGCAUGUCAUUCAUAAUUCACUUGAGCAUUUAUUUGUUAAUUAGUUAGUAGUAACAAAGCCUAAAUCUAGUUAUUAAUUAAAAAAGAAAUGAUCGAAGAAUGGUUGAGGAAUGAUUG